GGCGUAAAGCGCAUGCAGGUGGUUUGUUAAGUCAGAUGUGAAAGCCCGGGGCUCAACCUCGGAAUUGCAUUUGAAACUGGCCGACUAGAGUACUGUAGAGGGGGGUAGAAUUUC
Molecule: ribosomal RNA, 114 nt
Filed under: uncultured bacterium
Lineage: Bacteria
Description: partial 16S ribosomal RNA
Rfam family: Bacterial small subunit ribosomal RNA
Source: RNAcentral